GAGCUUCGUAUGCAGGCUGAAGCAUGACCGUAAGGACAUGUGGACAGUAUACGAGUGAGAAUGUUGGCAUGAGUAGCGAGACGUGGGUGAGAAUCCCACGGGCCGUAAACCCAAGGUUUCCAGGGGAAGGUUCGUCCGCCCUGGGUUAGUCGGGACCUAAGCCGAGGCCGAAAGGCGUAGGUGAUGGACAACAGGUUGAUAUUCCUGUACCGCCAAUAAGCGUUUGAGAGAUGGAGUGACACAGUAGGAUAAGCUAACCGUACUGUUGGUUAUGUACGGCUAAGCAUUGAGGCAGUCUAAAUAGGCAAAUCCGUUUAGACAAUGCUAGGAUGUGAUGGGGAAGCCCUCCGGGGCGAAGUAGCUGAUUUCACACUGUCAAGAAAAGCUUCUAUCGAGUUUAAAGGCGCCCGUACCGUAAACCGACACAGGUGGGUGAGGAGAGUAUCCUAAGGCCAGCGAGAGAACUAUUGUUAAGGAACUCGGCAAAAUGACCCCGUAACUUAGGGAGAAGGGGUGCCUGUCUAUGACAGGCCGCAGAGAAUAGGCCCAAGCGACUGUUUACCAAAAACACAGGUUUCUGCUAAGUCGCAAGACGAUGUAUAGGAGCUGACGCCUGCCCGGUGCUGGAAGGUU
RNAcentral lists this ribosomal RNA (633 nucleotides) under Acinetobacter baumannii. RNAcentral describes it as "partial 23S ribosomal RNA". It matches the Rfam family "Bacterial large subunit ribosomal RNA", at positions 1234 to 1878 of the family's 2925-position model. The record is from RNAcentral. Lineage: Bacteria; Pseudomonadati; Pseudomonadota; Gammaproteobacteria; Moraxellales; Moraxellaceae.